Molecule: long non-coding RNA, 1643 nt
Organism: Homo sapiens (human)
Lineage: Eukaryota; Metazoa; Chordata; Mammalia; Primates; Hominidae
Source: Ensembl
UUCCUCUCCCAGGUGCGCUUCCCUGCUUGAUCUGUGUACCCUGCUCUUUCUCCUUCAUUCCGCAGCCUCCUUUGCCCUGUGACCUGCAGGUACUGGACGGUCCCUAGAGAGGAUACCGGGACGCUCCUGAAGCCGCGAGAUGGAUGGGUCUUCCAUGAUACUGAAGGGAGAGCCACAUGUUGAUGCCCAGGACCAGCUGCCUCCUUGGUCUGAAAGGCCUGAUCGAGGCCAGGAUUGGCUAUGAGAGCUGGGAAAUGGGACCAUCUUUGAAGCCAUGGGAGAGGGUGAGAGCCACCAUCACUCAUGUUCUUGAAUGGGAACUGCCUGGAGACCCUGAAGAAGAAGGAGCCUGAAGGAGGAAGGAGGAGGCUGAGCCAUCCCGGGAACAUGGGCUGGAUGAGGCCAAGCCAGGAGACGACACCACCAGAUAGAAGUCACCAUUCAGGAUUUGGACUUUUCUGUGGAGAUCCUGGCCCCGAGAUCGAACCCUUCUCCCUGUGGGUGUUCCCGCAGGAGAUGGUGCUGGAGAUCCACCAGCUGUUCAUGGACCAUGAAUACCCAUGUCACCACAUCACUUCUCACUGCACCUGGGUGGCAGCACACUGGACCACGUCUCAGAGCUGCGCAGCAUGGCAGGGCUGCAGGCGGGCUUGCUGCUCCACGUGGUGGAAGAGCCCUGCACAAUGCACAAGGCCCACGGUGAUGAGUGCCACAUUUGAGACUGCUCAGGAGCCUGGACCCAGCUGAUGCAGCUCCUUGUCCUUCCUGAGCGUCUUCACUGACAGUGGCCUGAGAGACGGCAGGAGCAGAAAGACUUGGAGAUGGACCCCACCGACUGCACACCACCCAAGUACAUCCUGCUAGGGACCCUGGAACAGCCACUGUGUCCCCUGCAACCCCAGAACGGUGACUAAAAGCCCCUGAAAGUGCUCACCGUGAGCGGCUGGUACCUGUCCCCUGGGAACUGCAAGAUGCACAGGACCUUGUGUACCUGUUUGUGAUCACAGCCGAGGACCAGCGAGGUAGCAUUACCACAUCCACACAGGGCUUUUACCAUAACUGGGCAGCAUCUCAGGGCCAGGAGAACCCAGAGCAGCCCCAGUACUGGAACGAGGAGCUGCAGAUGAUGAGGGACCUACCCAACAAGAACCAACCUGAGCAGCUGCUUCAAGAAAAAGCCAUGUUCAAGGUGCCUGAAUCCCCUGGUAAGUGAGUGACAGCCUCACAGCCUCAGGCCCACCUGGCUCCUGCUGGAAGGUUUUCUUGUGCUCGGGAGAGAAGUGAGGGAAGCCGGCAGUCCCAGCCCUGUCAGGUGCCCUGAAGGCCCGUCAGGUUUGCCCUGCAAGGCCUUCUAGCAUUCUGCUUCCUGGGAGACCAUCCCCCACCUUUCUCCGGCCUCUGAGACUUUGAGUCCUUGGGAGGAGAAGGCCCUCCUUGCUAUCUGGGCUGAGUGGCCAGGGCCAUCCAGCUUCCCACCCUCCACUGACUGCCAUGGGGCCCUCCCCUGAGCACAUGGUGCCCAACUGUAGCCCUUCUAGGGCAGGGGCUCAUUGGCAGCACUUGCAGCUUGCUGGCACUUAAAAGUCAUUAGUGCGGUUACUGAGAGAAAUGAGGAAAAAAUAAUUGUUAAAAAAAAAAAAAAA